UACGGGGGGGGCAAGCGUUGUUCGGAAUUACUGGGCGUAAAGGGCUCGUAGGUGGCCAACUAAGUCAGACGUGAAAUCCCUCAGCUUAACUGGGGAACUGCGUCUGAUACUGGAUGGCUUGAGAUUGGGAGAGGGAUGCGGAAUUCCAGGUGUAGCGGUGAAAUGCGUAGAUAUCUGGAGGAACACCGGUGGCGAAGGCGGCAUCCUGGACCGGUAUUGACACUGAGGCGCGAAAGCCAGGGGAGCAAACGGG
RNAcentral lists this ribosomal RNA (253 nucleotides) under uncultured bacterium. RNAcentral's name for it is "partial 16S ribosomal RNA". It matches the Rfam family "Bacterial small subunit ribosomal RNA", at positions 524 to 776 of the family's 1533-position model. The record is from RNAcentral.